This 90-nucleotide transfer RNA is filed under the name Coriobacteriales bacterium. Its description in RNAcentral is "tRNA-Ser". It matches the Rfam family "tRNA". Rfam says of the family: Transfer RNA (tRNA) molecules are approximately 80 nucleotides in length. Their secondary structure includes four short double-helical elements and three loops (D, anti-codon, and T loops). Further hydrogen bonds mediate the characteristic L-shaped molecular structure. tRNAs have two regions of fundamental functional importance: the anti-codon, which is responsible for specific mRNA codon recognition, and the 3' end, to which the tRNAs corresponding amino acid is attached (by aminoacyl-tRNA synthetases). tRNAs cope with the degeneracy of the genetic code in two manners: having more than one tRNA (with a specific anti-codon) for a particular amino acid; and 'wobble' base-pairing, i.e. permitting non-standard base-pairing at the 3rd anti-codon position. The record is from RNAcentral. Lineage: Bacteria; Bacillati; Actinomycetota; Coriobacteriia; Coriobacteriales.
GGAGAGGUCGCAUAGCCUGGCUUAGUGCACCGGUCUUGAAAACCGGAGUGGGGCAACCCACCCAGGGUUCGAAUCCCUGCCUCUCCGCCA